UACACGCUUUCCGUGACUCAUCCGCUGAAGAUAAAGGACUUAGCACUCAGGCCUGUGAGGCAGGAGAUACGAAGAUUUCCAGAGAAGGACCAGUUCCUCGGAUGUGCCCCCUCACAGAGAGAUGAAGGGGCAGCAGAAAACAGCAGAAACCGAAGAGGGGACAGUCUAGAUUCAGGAAGGUGCCGUGGCAACUGGGGAGGACCCCACCAGUGUGGCUAUAGCUAGCAUCCAGUCAGCUGCCACUUUCCCUGACCCCAACCUCAAGUACGUCUUCCGAACUGAAAAUGGGGGCCAGGUGAUGUACAGGGUGAUCCAGGUGUCUGAAGGGCAGCUGGAUGGCCAGACUGAGGGGACUGGUGCCGUCAGCGGCUACCCUGCCGCUCAGUCCAUGACCCAGCCGGUGAUCCAGGGUGCGUUCACGAGUGAUGAUGCAGUUGACACAGAGGGGACAGCUGCUGAGACGCACUAUACUUACCUCCCCAGCACUGCAGUGGGAGAUGGGGCAGGGGGUACCACAUCGGGGAGUACAGCAGCUGUUGUUACUACCCAGGGCUCAGAGGCACUACUGGGGCAGGCGACCCCUCCUGGCACUGGUCAGUUCUUUGUGAUGAUGUCACCACAGGAAGUGUUGCAGGGAGGAAGCCAGCGCUCUAUUGCCCCCAGGACCCACCCUUAUUCCCCGAAGUCAGAAGCUCCCCGGAGAACUCGGGAUGAGGAACGCAGGGCUCAGCAUAAUGAAGUGGAGCGCCGCCGCAGAGACAAGAUUAACAACUGGAUCGUACAGCUGUCCAAGAUCAUCCCAUACUGCUCCAUGGAGAGCACCAAGUCUGGCCAGAGUAAAGGUGGAAUUCUAGCCAAAGCCUGUGAUUAUAUCCAGGAACUUCGGCAGAGUAACCACCGGUUGUCUGAAGAACUAACUGCAGGGGCUUGGCCAACUACAGCUGGACAACGAUGUGCUUUGACAGCAGGUAGGAGAUCUUAAGAACAAGAAUCUGCUGCUACAAGCUCAGCUGCGGCACCACGGAGUAGAGGUUGUCAUCAAGAGUGACAGCAACUAACUCUGGGGACUCGGGCUCUAAGCUCUACAGCCCCUUUCCAAGAACUUCAGAUAGCCCAGGAGCCACAGGCUAAUAACCCCGUGCCCCUUUCCUUCACUACCCACAUUUGGCAUGGGACUGGGGGGAGUUCAGAAGGCGUAUCUUUGAAUUAAGGCCCUGUGAUCUAGCAGCCUGCAGUGGUGUGAAACACACACAUGGGUGUGCACCGACAGUCUCGCCCAACCAACCCUACCAUGCAGCCCCUGGGCCCUUGUGCUCCUCUUGCACAAUGCAUGUGCUGUCUCCAUGCUGGACACUGGACACACUAAACUGGGGGGCUUGCCCCGUGCUUGCUUAAAGUGCCAGCAGAGGGUCUGCUGACAAGCAGUGUUCUGCCUUGCCCUAGGACUGGCGCUUCCCACUGGUUCUUCCGUUCCCUGGAGCUCAAAUGUGCUCCUCAGGACUCUGGGAAACAGGCUUUAGCAGGAAGUGGGGAUCGGAGGCUUAGCAGUGGCUGCUGCCCCAGGUAGAGGAGAUUGGCCAGCAAGCAGUUGAGGCCUAUGCAGGUUUCUGGCACCAGGGAGAACAGGAGGCAGGGCCCACUGGGGGCCUUACCCCAUUGUAGGGACGGUAUUUUAUUUUUCUUUUCUUUUUUUUUUUAAGAUAAAAUGUUCAGAGCCAAAAAAAA
RNA transcript from Capra hircus (goat), 1725 nucleotides. It is a transcript of the gene named upstream stimulatory factor 1 pseudogene, with no coding region annotated. Lineage: Eukaryota; Metazoa; Chordata; Mammalia; Artiodactyla; Bovidae. The transcript has a single exon. The record is from RefSeq and is a predicted model, not a curated record.